This 301-nucleotide ribosomal RNA is filed under the name uncultured bacterium. RNAcentral describes it as "partial 16S ribosomal RNA". It matches the Rfam family "Bacterial small subunit ribosomal RNA", at positions 509 to 807 of the family's 1533-position model. The record is from RNAcentral.
CAGUCGCCGCGGGAACACGAAGGGUGCAAGCGUUAAUCGGAAUUACUGGGCGUAAAGCGUGCGUAGGCGGUGAGUUAAGUCUGCUGUGAAAUCCCCGGGCUCAACCUGGGAAUGGCAGUGGAUACUGGCUCGCUAGAGUGUGUCAGAGGAUGGUGGAAUUCCCGGUGUAGCGGUGAAAUGCGUAGAGAUCGGGAGGAACAUCAGUGGCGAAGGCGGCCAUCUGGGACAACACUGACGCUGAGGCACAAAAGCGUGGGGAGCAAACAGGAUUAGAUACCCCAGUAGUCCCUGUCUCUUAUAC